Molecule: long non-coding RNA, 2292 nt
Organism: Plodia interpunctella (Indianmeal moth)
Lineage: Eukaryota; Metazoa; Arthropoda; Insecta; Lepidoptera; Pyralidae
Exons: 3
Source: RefSeq, a predicted model, not a curated record
UCGGAUUUCUUUCAACUGACUUUCGCUUUCAUUCUGAUUGUAUUGAUCUUGGUUUUUAUUAUUUUCCCGGAUCGCUGAAGCAUGUGUGCAAAAAUUUACUAGCGGCUCCAUCCGACUUCGCUCGGUUAAAACCAUGAUCUUCAUCAGAAUCACACUAUCUAUUUGUGAAAUACAUACAAAAAUCCAUCAGAUUUACAUUCAUUGCUCUGACAUGAAACCUCUAUGAAACCACAAGAGUCGUCACCAUGCAUGCGGCUAAUAGUAAAACCAGAGAAAGGAAACCUCCUUAUUUUUAUAAAAAUAGUGAAUGUGUUAGCAUAUAUUCAACUAAUAGAAAUACUAAAUUAUAGUUUGUCAAGCAAAUACCUGUGCCACCGAGGUCGACAAUAAUCGAGUCGAGGUCGAUAAGAGAGAUUUACUCCACAUAAAAUAUUGUUGAUUACAAUUAUUCAUGUGCUAUCUAAAUAUUUUACGACGCCAUUUUGUUUUGCAAUAAUUAUGACAAGCGCAAUUUGGCGACCUCUGACUGUUUUAUCGCGUUUGUCGGGAGAAAUCCCAGGAAAUAAAUAAUUCCACAUGAUAUUUCUGAUGUAGAUUGAUCGCUUUGUUAAGGGGACGUCUGAGUGCUUUUAAUUUGAUGUGUUUUAUGUAUUUUUGUAUUGUCAUUGUUACACAGCAUUACCAUACAAUUUGACAAUGCCAAUUUCGCAGGAAAAAUUGCGAAACAUUUUUUAUUUAUAGGUAAGUACUUUAUGAAAGACUAAGACAGUGUUCUAUAAAUUACGAUAAACAUAAUAAAUUAUAUUAUCAUAUACCUAAAUGAAUUAUUGAGAUUAAUUUUUAAUAUGUCUACAUAAAGUAAUAAAUGAGAUCUUCAAUUUUACACCUUCAUCAUAGUUAAAAACACUCACGGUUUGUCACUUGCAAAUAUAAGAAAACUAGAUCAGAAUCAGUUCAGCCAUUUUUCUGGUACAAUGCCACGGACAGACAUACAGGUACACUUUUAUCUACGCUCCUUCUAUCGUCGGGGAUGUAAACAUAUUUAAAGCAUACCCUUAACAGAUAAGGACUUCAAUUUGAUACCGGGUUGACCCGGGGCUAACCAUUUUUCUGCCAAAAUAAAUGUCAUUAAUACUGACAUUGAUUGAUUGUCAUAUUUAUUAUAUCGUGUACGGUAUCUGUUAGGGUAAUUACUGAGGACAAUAAAUUUUUUCUGUGCGAGGGUUAUUGAGAUGACUUUUUAAUAUACCCCUUUCUUGUCACUGGUAUUGUAAUUAUUUUAUUACACUGUACUGUAUACUGUUCUUAAUAUUGAGCUAAAGCAUGUUGUGUCUCUUUCUGUUCAUGGCAAAUAUUAGAAAGUGCGAUAGUGAGAAUAUAUAUGUUAGCUUAGGUUAGGGUUAGAGUCAGCUAACUCACUAGUGUGUAAACACGGAACACAGAAAACAUGGUAUGGUGUCAUUAAGACAAUUUAUAACAGUACAUCAAGUGUCGCCGAAUGCACACAUCAAACGGUAAAAUAAAUAUAGUGCUUUAAACGUUAAAUUAGAUUGCAUAUUUUCUGUGUCGUAAAAGCCAUGACAGAUUCCUUUAGGUAAGACUAUUUCAUUAAGUAACAACGGUCAAUUACACGAUUAGGUGCGAGCUUCAUUAUAAUAUUUAUUUAUUUUAGAACUUACAAGAAAGAAGGUCAGUUACAAAAUUCGUUAGUAAUAUAAAAAUAGUAUAAUGCUUGGUAUAUGUACUAUUAUUAUCAUUACAGUAUUAAAGUGAAAUUAUACCAGAGAGAGAGAAAAAUGUAUACAAAAAUUAUACAGAGCAAAGAAAACGGAAAUUUUGAAAUUAUGUACUAAAUAUUUCAAUAUUGCCUGUCACAUGCUUUCCGUAACAAAGUCAAGAGUAAGCUUCAAGGCUUAUCAAGACAAAGUAAAUGAUAUUUUUCUUAAAUCAGGUUCUUCACAAUGUUUUUUUUUUUUUUUCAUUGAUCAAGAGCAGUUUGUGGUCUAUGAAAAUUUACCGUAAAUAUCUAUGAAAAAUAAAGUUUGCAGCAAACGUUUAACUAGGUAUACUAAUAUUAUUGUAAGACUUACAGUAAAUCAGUUAACUUCUAGUUAACUUAUUCGAUUUCGCGGAAUCGAUAGAAUUUAAGUAUUCGAUUUAAGUCGAGAUACGAAUUUAAAGCGGACGUUUGCUGACAAGUGUCCUAAUACAGGAUAUGUCAGAAAAAAUAUUUUACAAUAGAAUAUUUUCGUAUGUUACAAAAUAUUAAAUUAUUUUUUGCAUAUUAUUUAA